GUCCCUCAGGCUGGAGUGCAGCGGCGCCAUCUCAGCUGAAUGCAACCUCUGCCUCCUGGGUUCAAGAGAUUCUCCUGCCUCAGCCUCCCAAGUAGCUGGGAUUACAGGUGCGUGCCACCACGCCUGGCUAAUUUUUUGUAUUUUUAGUAGAGACAGGGUUUCACCGUGUUAGCCAGGAUGACCUUGAUCUUCUGACCUCGUGAUCCUCCCACCUCAGCCUCCCAAAGUGCUGGGAUUACAGGCGUGAGCCACAGCGCCCGGCCUUCAGCGUGCUUUUUUUUUUAAUGGUUUGCUAUAUUUACAUCUGGUUUCUCCUUCUGAAUGGUGCUGUUAAUUUUCUUGUGGAGAAGGAACUGUCUUUAGAAAAAUAUCUCAAAAAGCCACUGAAGUAGAAAGUUUCAGCAUGCUGAAGAUGGAACUUGAGAAGAUAGAAAGUUCUGGGUCCUUAGUGGCAUGACUGAGUCGCUGGACCACUGUUGGAACCACCCUAUGUCUUAGUUUUUAAAUCUCUUUACUGUCUAAGACAUUUUUAGUGGAAGUAUUUAUCUCUGGCAUCCAAUAAGACCUUUAAGGAUUUGCAGUUUUAUCUAUGUGUUUGUUUAUUGUCUGCUCCACCCUACUUGAUUGUGAUCACCAUGACAUCAAUGACUGUGCAUCUUUUGUUCACUCAGGAAUAUCCAGUGCCUGCCACGCAGAGUGUGCUGCAUGUACAUGCUCACUUGAUAUCUGUUGUAGCAAAGAGUGAAAGAGAGAAGGAAUAAAUGCUUUCUCCCAUGAUGAGGGGACAUGGGGUCCAGACAAGCUGGACCAUUAUCCCAGGCCCAGCGCUCUGCUUUAUUUUUUUUUUUCCAGUACAGCAUCACAUUCAGUUACAACAGAGUGAAAUCUCCUAAGAACACGGCUGAUUAUUUCUUGAUUGCAAAAAGGACUCACUAACCCUCCGAUCUCCUGUAACGCAAGUCAAUGCUCUUCUAAUCUCCUUUUAGACAGCACCUGUACUUGUCAGUCAACGCAUGGUAGUCUGGGCUAGCCAAGUGAAUCCUUAACUAAACUGAAGUGGUGCUGAUCAUUCAGCCUUCAGAAUUGAAAAAAUCACAGCAUUGCUGAAGGAAAAGGCAUUUUUCAGGUAGAGAGGCAUAAGUCUUGGGCCAGGAAGCUUCAGUAAGAAGACAAUAAUUUCAUAGAAAUGCAUUAGCUUGGGGAGUCCAACUGCUGUUCUUGCACCUAAGAAAUUCAGAGGAGAGCUCUUUGCUUCCUUGCUCAUUCCAGUGGUUAGGAGUCAGGCCUUGUCCCAGAAUGUUCAGGUUGAUGCUUACCAUUUAAGCCUUAAGUUAAUCCGUUGAAGCUCCAGGCCUUUUAUGGGAUUCACAAGAAUAAACAGCAUUUAACUAUAGAUUCUCAAAGGUCAAAUCUUCAACCUAAAUCUGAGGAUUCAAAGCAUUGUUCACUCUAAUAAUUCUGCUAGUUCCCAACUUCACACAAACCAUUUAUUUCAGAAUGUAAACCUUGAAUAAUCUUUUCUUACUUGUAGUUUUGUGGUCAUUUAGAAAACAGCAAUACUCUAUUUUAAUUGGAACUAAGUGACAAAAAUAAGCCACUUCAUUAGUUUUCUAGAUAACGGUAAAAUGUAAGAACAAAAAGCCACUUCUUUUUCCACGUGGUAUUUUACAGUGACUUUUUUUUUUCUUUUUACUGCAUUUUAAAAUUCUACUGGAGGCAUUUCUCGGAAACUUUCUCUUACUUGUUAAUGAAUCAUCCCCUUUGAGAAUCAGCAGGUGAUUUCAGGAGCCCAGGUGUGAAUAAUUGAUUUAAGGUCGACCUUGUGGGUGGAGCCAAUGUUUACCAAGUGCAUUCAUUCGACAAACAAUUGAUGAACACCAAAUUAGAGUUCAAUUCCAGAUAACAAAAACCAGUUGAACUAAUUUCAUCAGAAAGCUACUUAAUAGGGGUAAUUAGGUGCUUACAAAAUAGAAGGGCUGGAAGCCCAGGAUCUAGGCUGACACCCAUGUAGCUAGACCCUGGAAACUGGGAUUCCAGCUGCACAGAACAGCCAAGUGUGUUCAUGACUGUGCUUGUUUGUCAGCAGGAGCAUGGCCCUGCCUUGUGAUACUGUGUUUUUCAGCUCUCACGUGGCUGAGUCUGUUUGGAGAAGUUGGUUCAAGAUGCAGCUUGACUCUCAGGGAGUCUGAAUAACUACCCUUAAUAUUGUUAGCUUUCUGGUCUCCAGCACACAGUAUGAUUUUCUGGAAGAAGGAUUUAAUGUAGUUAAAUAUGCCAACGUGUAAUAUCUGAUGUACAUUUCUACCCUGCUUGGGAUACAAAAUAAAUAAAAGCCAGUUUCUGUCUGUAAGGAGUGUACAGUUUAGUAAGAAGACAGACUCCUGAACAAAGAUGUAUACUUCAAUGUUGCCAGCCCAGGAUUAGAGAUGGGUAUUAAGAGGACCUCUGAUGAGUGAUAUUUUGCAUCUGGUGCAGGACAGUUCCCUAGGUGGCCUUGGACCAAACCAGUCCUCCCGCUUUCUCACUUGUAGUUUUAAGAAUAACUAGAAUGUGCUGGGAAUGCAACAUCCCGAGAUAAGGCCUAGGCUCUGUUCCAGUCCCCGCUAGAAACAGGAUGUCCUUCAGCACAUUAAUCCAGCAGGUCAUGUUAUCCCUGGAGUAGAAAACCCAGAGACGGCUACUUUCCAGGGUCCUGCAUCUGGGGUGCAAGUGAGGCACACGCAGAUGAGACUCCACCUGCCCUGGGCAGCUUUCCUGAGCCUUGAGAAACCAGCUCACCAUGAAUCCAAGGUGUCUGCUGUUCCUUGCCACCAUUUCAUGGAACCUGUUGUAUGUGUAUUUCCAGCUCUGAAAAGCCUGUUUUACUUCAUUCUCUUACCAAAGAGUUUGGUGACACAAAAUGAAAAGUUUGAUGGACAAUCUGGAAGAGUCCCACUAAGCAACACAAGAAAUACGCUCUCACAAAGACCUAUUCAUGUUUUCCAUGUUUCAAAUAUGACUGAACCUGACAUAUAUAAGAACGCAAAAGAUUCUUCAAAAUCAAACUGUGUCCGGAAUUGGUGGGUUCUUGGUCUCACUGACUUCAAGAAUGAAGCCACGGACCCUGGCGGUGAGUGUUACAGCUCUUAAGGUGGCGUUUCUGGAGUCUGUCCCUUCUGAUGUUCAGAUGUGUUCGGAGUUUCUUCCUUCUGGUGGGUUCGUGGUCUCGCUGGCUCAGGAGUGAAGCUGCAGAUCUUCACGGUUGCUAGUAACACAAUAAUAAAGCUGCUUUAUUUUCCAGUGAAGAUGUAUGUGAUAGGGAGUGGAGGAAGAAAAAGGCCAGAAAAUUCCAUAGUUAGCAAAUAUACCUUUCUUACUUAAAAUUCUUUUUCCAAUGUGAGCCUUCUAAAGAGUUACUGAGAAAUUAGGUGAGCUCACCUCAUUUAAUGCAAUAGAUAUGUUUCUGAAAAAUAAGCAAUACAUAGGACAUUGGCCAAUUAAGAAUUCUGAUGAAGAAGAAUUUUCACAUCCGAAAGAGUAAAAAUGAAAAACGGUACAAAUGUAGUGGCUUUUAAAUUUCAAAACAAAUUAUUUUGAUAAGAUAAAUAUUCCUCUCAUAAAGUGAAAAUGGAAGAGACUGCUUGCUGGGUGUUCGUCAAAAUGGAGUUAGAUGGUCUGUCCCAGACUCCCCUGUUGUUAGUUCUGAGAACAGAAGUAAUGGUGCUUCUUCAGGACUGGCUCAUAGAAACCUGCCGUGUUCAGCCCCCACAAUCCUCUCCCUUCUGCUGGCUGGAAACAAAUGACAACGAAGCCUCACGUCUUGGAGAAACCACACUGCUGAGGAACUCAAGUCCUAGAAGAACCAUUUGAAGAGACCCAUCUCACUAAAGAAAAUCACACAAGCAAGAAGUAAACUUCAUUGUAUCUAUGUAUUUAAUUGUCAUAACAGUCUACCUUAACUGAUACAGCAAAAAUUCGCUCCUUUUCUGGACACCCAGUUUCAAAAUCUCAGUGUCAUUUUUUACUUCUCUCUUUUCAGGUUGUUUAAUAUAAUAAAAUUUGUGUGUGUGUGUGUGUGUGUGUGACAAGGUCUUGCUCUGUUGCCCAGGCUGGAGUGCAAUGGCACGCUCCCAGCCCACUACAGCCUUGACCUCCAAGCUCAAGUGUUCCUCCCACCUCAGCCUCCAGAGUAACUGGGACUACAGGCAUGGGCCACCACACCCGGCUAAUUUUUGUACUUUUUGUAGAGACAGGGUUUCACCAUGUUGCCCAGGCUGGUCUUGAACCCCUGGGCUCAAGCGAUCUGCCCAUCUCCACCUCCCAAAAUUCUAGGAUUACAGGCGUGAGCCACUACACCCAACCAUUUUAUUUUUAAAAGUUUUCUUUGCAAUAUUGCUCACAUUGUUUCCUUCCUUUUUAUUCUUAUUGUCACUCCCAAGUUCAGGCUUUUACCUCUUUUAUUUGAAGUAUUAAAGUAUACUUCUAAGUCAUUUCUGUGGCUUAAAUUUAUUUAAUCCACUCCAUCCUGCAUCCUACCAACACAAUAACAUUGUUUCAUCAUUUCAAAUUGAAAUCGAAACUCUCCAAAGCUUUCCUACUGCUGAAUGGAUAAAAACACAAAAUCCUCAAUAGAGAAUUCACUUUCUGGAGCCAACUUACCUUUCCAAAUAUUUCCCAUUAUUCCCUAAGAGAAUCCUCCUGACAUACUCACUGUUUUUCAUAUACACUAGACCUUUUCUCAACCACCUAUUUGUCCACACAUUUUUCUUCCAGCUAGAAUAUUAUUUUCCCUUUCUCACUUCUGAAAGUCUUACCUGUCAUUCAUGGUUCAUCUCAAGCUCAAUCUUCUCCUUGAAACCUUUAAGCAUACCCUCCUGGAAAGUUAUCUCCCUCACCUCGAACCACCCCCCCAGCCCCUGCCAGAAUCUCCUAUAGGGCUGAUUGUUUAUCCUGCUUAUUAUAUAUUUAUAAAACACUCCACUGAGUUAUUAAUUACCUUUUCCUUGACUGUGAAAACAUGACUCUGGCUUCAAGGUAGGACCAUUUUUUCUCUAACACUGUGUCUCAUACACUUCAGCACAAGCUCUUAGUGGCCUGUGCAUUCAACUCCCAUGCAUAGCCACUUCCUCCAGGCAAACCCCACAGCCAGCAUCCAAAUUUUAAAAGGGGUUCUGUCAUCAACCCAAAGUUUCUUCUCUCUCAAGGAACCUAGAUUUAGAAGUUGAGUCUAGGCCACCUGUCUAAGAUACAGUAGUUAAUUUAACAUAUUUUAUUGCUCUCAACAUCACAGAGAAAGAGCCUUACUGCAGAUCUCAUUCUUUCCUUCAAAGCCAGUUUGCCCAUUCCUCUUCAGAAACCUUUAAGAGUGGUUAUUGGGAGAGAUGAUAAGACUCCAUCUGCUUAAGGAGUCCCUCUAACCCAGAAUAGUAGAUGUAAACACCUGACAUGUUGUUAUAGAGUGAAUGUUUGUGUUCCCCUCCAAUCCAUAUGUUGAAAUUCCAAGCCCCAAUGUGUUCGCAUUGGGAGGUGAGGCCUUUGGGAGGUAAAUAGAUCAUGAAGGUGAAGUCUUCAUGAAUGGAUUAGUGUCCUUAUAAAAGAGACCCCAGAGAGCUCUCUCAUCCUGUUUCUGCCAUGUGAGGACACAGCAAGAAGUUGGUCAUCUGCAACCUGAAGUGGCUCCUCCCCAGAAACUGAAUCUGCUGGGGUCUUAAUGGUGGGCUUCCCAGCCUCCAGAAUUAUGAGUGUAAAUGUUUGUUGUUUAAGCUACCCAGUCUAGGGUAGUUUGCUAUACUACCCCAAACUGACUAAGAUACAUAUGUUUGUCAUCCACUCAGUUGUUUUCCUAAAAUAAAUGAAGUCAGCUCCAAAGAUGAAUUUUCAUCUCUUUUUGUAGAGAUGGGUGCUAUUAUGCUUUUUAAUGAACGUUUAUUCACAAAUAAAAACAAAACAUACCUCUCACAUCCUCAGAGCAAAUACUUACAGUAACAUACAUUGAUGCUCACAAGCUCAUUACAUUUCAUGUUUACUAUUCAUUGAUAACAUUACAUUUAUUAUUAUCACAUAAACCAUACCUCCUGUUUAUGAAGCACUUAUGGUGUUUUAGUCAAUGUUAUGGUACCUGCUAUAUAUGGUCUCUAAUUUUAUUUUAACUUCCUAUAGUAAACAAUAUUAGGUGCUAACUCAAUAGUCAUUUUCUAACCUGAUUUUUCCUUGCAAACAGAACCCCAAAUUUGUUUGGAGAGAAAUGUGUCCAAAUCCAAACAAAGCAUCACCAUUUCUUUGAACCAUCAUAAGGAUCUAAUCAUUUUUUUUGUUUUCCUAGCCUCCCUCUAGCCAGAGAUACUGGGUAACACAGUUCUGGCUGAGAAGACAAGAGAAGAAAUCUGCUAAGCAUUUCUGGAAAAAGUUUUGAUUUGCUGAUGAAAGGGAACAGACAUACUGGUUGCCUUCCUUUUCCCUUUCAGCUGCCUAGUCGCCAUUUUGCAAUGUGAAACAACAUCAUUAAGGAAAGAUCAAAACAAUUGCAGAGAUGUCAACCAUCAUGCCUUUGAAUUCAUGCUCACAGUUGUCUGCCUCCAGAUUCAGUUAUAUUUGAGGUACUCUUUGAGUUAAGAUCCUUCUCAUUUUAUACCACUUGCAGCUGAACACACUCCCCACUAAUUUACCUUGUAAGGUGAAUUUCACUUAAAGGAAGAACACAUAAGUCAGGGAAUGACACAUAAUAGUAAAUGCAGGGUUUUUUUUUCUAUUUAUGAUAUAGAUUUAUACAACUGCUAUGUUCUUGACAUUGUACCAAUUUCAAGGUACAAAUAAGACAUAAUCCCUAAAAGCAUGGGUUACAAAAUCUGGGUUCAGCAUAGGGUUUCAUGAUAAACAAACAAACACAAAUUGUUUUUUAUUGUAUUUCCUUCUUCUUCACAUCUUGUGAAUCUAAGAAAAAUAUCAGAAUGUUCGUUUCAGCUCAAUUUUUGAAGAGUACAAUCUCUAAGUAAAAAGAAACUGUAAAUGUUUAUAAAUGUAACUAGAGCCUAGUAGAAAAUAAAGCCAUGCAAGUGUGUUUAGGUCCUAAUCUUAUUAACCAGAUUAGUGACACACAGUCUGCCCAAAGUUAAUGAAAGCAGUGAGGUUCUUUGACUUCAGUAGAUACACACCUGAACCACAGAGAUAAACUUGCUUCAAACCUGUGCGAUAUGUUUUUCUAAGCAUAAAAUUGAGCAUGAUAGCUCCAAUUUCAGUCUCAGUUUCAAAGCUUCCCUUUCCCGAAUAAGAGGCAAACUGUCACAUUAAAUUUAGCGAAUUAAAAUCAGUUAACUUGAAAAGCUCUUGGCCCCAAUGCAGAGAAAAUUGUUUGCAUAAUAAUAACUUAUUUCCUUUUUUAAAAGGCGGACUUCUGCCUGAAUGCUUCUAUAAACUUUUAAGAAAAUGGGAUUCUCAAAUCUCAAGCGUAUUGGGUUGCAGUUGGCACUUGAAGCUGGGGACAUGCAGAGCUGGCUAAUGUCAGCAGCUGUAGGACUGUCAAGAAAAAUAGGUGGAAGGGACACUUUUAUUAUAAGUAGACUUGCAAGGCAUUCCAACUUUCAGCUGCUCAACCCAGUAUACCAAACACCUCUGACUACCUCAAGUGUGGCCUUGCUGAGUGCUUCCAUAUUUAGGGGUUAUUAGACAGGACUGAAGCAAGUGACCUCUAAUGAGGAAGCAAUCAGGGCAGGCUCUGACCCUCCUCAGAGGUACUGUAAUGAACUGGCCUUGGAAGGUCUUUGAUGCUGCCUUUGCAUACUGUAUAUGAGCUUUCUGCUCAGUCAUUUCCUCUGCGCUCUGGUAGCACAGCAUGAAGCCUGCUAUUAGAAAAAAGGUUUAUUGCUACCUUGCAAACAUUUAUUGGGUAAUAUCUAAAACAUGGUGUCAAGUUAUAGUAAUGCGCUGUUCUGGGAAACUUUUUGAGAAUUUUAGUGUUUCAGAAGAUGGUCCUUUGAGAAUUCUUCUGUUUCAGAAAUGAAAAGUGGUAGAUAUAUACGUGUGUGUGUAUAAUAUGCUCAUGUAUCCUCUGAUUACUUGCCAGAGAUGUACCAUUUUUCUUUCAAGGGAAACAUCUAUUCCUAAGAUAGAUUAUUCUUGAAAUUUUCAAAGAGUAUGCCUCAGAGAACAAAUAUACAAAUUUACCAUUUGUCUGCAGAUAUUAUUUGCCUGUGUUUAUGCUAGGUCACUGACACCACACACAUUUUAAUCCCCAAGGGAAUUUAUUUGGUGGUGUUAUCUACUCAACCAAGCUGAAGCUUAUCUAGUUCACAAGAAAAUAGUCAAUAUGAGCUCCAUGCAGACUUAUGCUGUUAAUGCAGAAGAGGGAAAGAGAAUUUACCUUUAACUGUUAUGAUGAAAAUGUGUACAAUGACACUUAACUAUGGCAUGCAAAUCCUCUUUUCCUCCCCCACAGGUAUCUGGAAAGUACCUUAUACAGCUAGGUGCUUAGAAAAUGUUUAUUGAUUAAAUAGAUGAUGAUUAACAGAUUAAUAAAAGGUGAAAGUUACUAUCUAUGCAUUUUUUUCCAGUUUGAUGUUCAAAAACUUACCAAUGGAUGGGGAGUUGCUUUUCAUAAACAAUUUAUAAAGCACUGUCCUGGAUGAAAUUGUAAAAAGGACGUGGUGUCAAAGAUGACUCAGUGGAGUUGAGGUGAAAAAUGUGUAAUGAGCAAAUCAUGGUAAUUGGGAUAUCCAUCACCUCAAACCCUUAUCAUGUCUUUGUGUUGAGGACAUUUCAAAUCUUCCCUUCCAGCUAUUUUGAAAUAUACAACAAAUUAUUGUUAAGUGUAGCCACCCUAGUGUGCUACUGUACACUAGGACUUACUUAUUCCUUCUAUCUAACUGUAUUUUUGAACCCAUGAACCAACAUCUCUUUGAUUUCCAGCCUGGGCUUUGGUGUCCCUUUUUUUGUGUGUUUUCAUAGGGCCCUAUAUUUAUAUUAUUUGGGCUCAACACAUUGCAAAACUGCAGAGGAGUUUACUAUUAUGCACAUUAUUAUUCUAUAUUCUGUCACUCUAAGAAACAAUAAGUGACCAUCUGAAGAGACCAUCUUCUAGCACCAAAAUAUUUAAAGAUGAUUAAGAAUAAGACAAGGGUCUCCUUAUUUACAAAAUGACAUAAUUGAAAGGACUAGAUUAUUAGCAACCCCUCUGGAAAAGGAUUACUCUUUUGGAUUUUAAUUACAUAACUAAUAUAUCAACUGAAGUGCUAUGCCCUGACGUGUGCUCCCCUCAGCUUCACGAUCCAUAUGUUGAAACCCAACCCCUUAAUGUGAUGGCAUUUGGAGAUGGGGCUUUGGAGAUAUUAGUUAGGUUUAGAUAAGGUCAUGAGAAUGGGGCUCUUAUGAUGAGAUGAGCACCUUCAUAAAAAGAGACACGAGGUAUUUCUCUUUUCUCUCUUCUCUCUCUCCCUCUUUCCCUCCCUCCCUCUCUCCUCCUUCUCUGUCUUCCUCCUUUAUGUGAGGACAUAGCCAGAAGGCAGCUGUGUCUGCAAGCCAGGAAGAAAGCCCUCACCAGGAAUCAACUAUAUCAGCACCUUGAUCUUGAACUUCUAUCCUUAGAACAGAGAGAAAAUGAAUUUCUAUUCUUGAAGCCACCCAGCCUACGGUAUUUUGUUAUGGCAGUCAAGCUGAAUAAGAUAUAUAUCUACACUGAGACCAUUAAAAGUAGUUCCUGAUUGGCAGAAAGGUUGUAUAUAUAAAUGGCUCAUUGAAAGUUCUCACUGCAUGGAUGAGAAAUCUCAGAUUGAGGUUCUUAAAUUUUGAAAAAUAGAAAUAAAGGAAUUAACGCAACAGUCUUCUAAUCUUUCUGCCUUCAGUUUUUGCUCCCUUUGACUAUUCUCUGUACACUGCAUCCAGAGGUUAUAUUUUGACAGGGAAAUUCAAAUGAUGUAUAUUAUUUUUCUACUCAAAAUCUCCCCACUGGCACCCUAUUGUCCUAAAGCAUAAACUGCUAUUGCAGUCAAUUCACCUGAAAUAAGCUCUCUUCCUGCCGCGUCUUUUACAUAGAUUGUUUACUCCUCUUGUGAUCCCAGUUCCCUGCUUCUCCCUCUCCUCCACACUUUUCAAUAAUUAAAUUAUACUCAGCGUUCAGAAUUCAGUCAGGAUAUCCUACCUUCUUUGGUCAGCCCCCCAGGGUUUUCUGAAAGCUGGGAAGAGGCCCUCUUCUGCAAUCCCCAUGCACUGUAGACACAUCCCCUUUAGGUCCCUAUGUUGUGAGUGACUGUUUUCUUGUCUGUCUCUGCCACUAUAUUAUGCACUCUUAGAAGGCAAGGACUACUUCUCUUCAUUGUAUACCUAGAACUUAACCCAAAAACUGGCAUGUGCAUGCACCCAAGUUUUCACUGAGAAAAUAAUUGCAUGAGUCACUUGCUUUCCAGGUCUUUCUGACUACUAUGAUGGUGAUGACUUGUAGUCACAACAUGAAAUUGGUUUCUGCCCCUGAGGAUUGUAUCUCUCUACUUUGCAUGACCCCUAGAUUUCAAUCCCUCUUUAUUCUCUCCUGAUCCUUGGGUUCCAGUAAUUCUCUGGGUUUCAAAUAUAAGCACAGUGUGAGGAGCUCUUCAUUCUUGACAGAACUUUCAGGCAAGAAAGAAAUAGAUUCCUGGGAAUAUCUAUAUUCCCUCUGGCCCUAUUCCUUACUCCCAAAACAUAAUAACCCUUUUCUUAGGUUUUUUCUCUCUACCUUUUUACUUCUUCCUUAUUCUCACGAUUACAUGAAUUAACUGCCUACAGAGUAUGAAUUCAGACUGAAUUAAUAUGUAUUUAUGUGACAUAAAAGAUCUCUUUCAGUACUUCUUAAUCUUACCAAAUGAUGCAUACUAUACAAUAAAAAAUUGCAAUUUUUUCAUUAGCUUUUUUUUUUUUUUUUGGUUUCUGGUAGGGUUUUCCUUUAGUGGUAUUUUAGCAAGUAAUACAAUCCAGUUAUUUUUAAAAGUAUAUUAGUAGAAACUCACCAGAAGUCAAUAUACUGGUCCAAGAAUAAUUAACUGAUUGACUUUAUUGUUUAUGAAACUUUGUAAUGUUCCUUUUGAUGUGAAUGCUUAUCUUAGGGGGAAAUGCACUUUUCAAAUAUAAAUGAUCAUGUUUAAACAAACUGCUUCUAGUUUCAAAUAUGGCACUGAAAAACAAAAUAAAAUAAACACUCAAUUUUUAUUUAAAAUGGUGGGCAAUUUACUUUCUUUUUUGUUUGGGAUCUGAUUCAAGAGCCUCAAUUCAGCUUAUUGCAGAACUAACUAAACUAAACCUCAAAGGAAAAAUUUUAAAAAUGAUUUUUAUAGCAAUGACAUCAUUAUAUAAAAUGUUGGCAUUUCAUAUUUUCCAAACAGAAACUUGGAAAUAACAGAAUACAAGUUAAAUAAAACAAAUUGAAACUAAUCCAAUUCUCUGUUUUUCUUUCCCUUUUUAAAAACCAAGCUUUUUAUUGCCAGCUUUUACUUUGCAUAAUAAUAUAUGAUGAAUUGUCCAAGAAAGACCCAGUGGGUACAUUUCUCUUAGAAAUAAGCCUCUCUAUGCAAUAGGAGGCCAAGUUCUAGGGCAACAUACUUAUAUAAUCAUGUAAGAUUUUCCUUAUUGCUAACAAUUGACCAACCUGGGCAUUUGUCAAAUAUGUAAACACAUGGAGGUCACUGGUCACCAGAGGAUUGAAAACACAAAUCACUCUAUUCAUAUCCAUCCCUAGUUCUAGAAAAACAAUACCAAAUUAAAGCAUAUAUCCUACUAGCAAUAGGACUAGCAAAAUUAUUUUGGUAUACCAGAGCUACAUGUUAUACAUUUUGCUACUUAUGGAUUUAAUUACUCAGGAUAAUUAUACACAUGGCUACAACUGUAAACUUUAUAAUAUUUUGCUGGCAUACCUUCCAAAAGAGUUUGAAAAGCUAUGAAUUUAAUUCUAUAUUUGCAUUUGACAUAUAAAGUAC
This 11912-nucleotide long non-coding RNA is filed under the name Homo sapiens (human). Its description in RNAcentral is "non-protein coding lnc-ZC3H11B-1:10". The record is from RNAcentral. Lineage: Eukaryota; Metazoa; Chordata; Mammalia; Primates; Hominidae.